RNAcentral lists this RNase P RNA (366 nucleotides) under Deltaproteobacteria bacterium. Its description in RNAcentral is "RNase P RNA component class A". It matches the Rfam family "Bacterial RNase P class A". From Rfam's summary of the family: Ribonuclease P (RNase P) is a ubiquitous endoribonuclease, found in archaea, bacteria and eukarya as well as chloroplasts and mitochondria. Its best characterised activity is the generation of mature 5'-ends of tRNAs by cleaving the 5'-leader elements of precursor-tRNAs. The record is from RNAcentral. Lineage: Bacteria; Pseudomonadati; Myxococcota; Myxococcia.
AGAGUGAAUUGAGCGAUCGCUCUCCGUCCUCUGGCGGAGGGAGGAAAGUCCGGACUCCACAGGACAGGGUGGCCGCUAACGGCGGCCCCGAGCAAUCGGGGGAAAGUACCACAGAAAACAUACCGCCCGCCGCUUCGGCGGCGAGUAAGGUUGAAAAGGCGAGGUAAGAGCUCACCGGUCCAUCAGUGAUGGUGGACGCAUGGCAAACCCCACCCGGAGCAAGACCCAAUAGGAGAGUUGGGUGGUCCGCCCAAAACUCUCGGGUAAGGUCGCUGGACGCCGCGAGCAAUCGCGGCGCAAGAUGAAUGAUCGCUGUGGCUCGGUUGCGAGCCAUCACAGAAUCCGGCUUAUCGAUUCACUCUAGCC